RNAcentral lists this ribosomal RNA (490 nucleotides) under uncultured bacterium. RNAcentral's name for it is "bacterial SSU rRNA". It matches the Rfam family "Bacterial small subunit ribosomal RNA", at positions 20 to 507 of the family's 1533-position model. The record is from RNAcentral.
UGGCUCAGAUUGAACGCUGGCGGCAUGCCUUACACAUGCAAGUCGAACGGCAGCGGACCUUCGGGUGCCGGCGAGUGGCGAACGGGUGAGUAAUAUAUCGGAACGUACCUUUCAGUGGGGGAUAACGUAGCGAAAGUUACGCUAAUACCGCAUAUUCUGUGAGCAGGAAAGCAGGGGAUCGCAAGACCUUGCGCUGAUUGAGCGGCCGAUAUCAGAUUAGCUAGUUGGUGGGGUAAGGGCCUACCAAGGCGACGAUCAGUAGUUGGUCUGAGAGGACGACCAGCCACACUGGGACUGAGACACGGCCCAGACUCCUACGGGAGGCAGCAGUGGGGAAUUUUGGACAAUGGGCGAAAGCCUGAUCCAGCCAUGCCGCGUGAGUGAAGAAGGCCUUCGGGUUGUAAAGCUCUUUCAGGUGGAAAGAAAGCGGAUGAGUUAAUACCUUGUCCGGAUGACGGUACCACCAGAAGAAGCACCGGCUAACUACGUG